UGGAGAAUCUAGCAGUAGUCAACCAAUGAGGGAAAAAUUCUGCAACUUUGUUAUUGCCCGUUGCUGGAUUCUUUAACAGUUGGGAGUAAAAACAGUUUGCUGCUCAUUGUAUCUCUCAGCAUCUCCAAAAAAAAAUUUCCAGAUUUUUUGUGAAACCCAUAGACCGCCUGCAAAAUAUCAGAGUUUGGAUCAUGACGAUGUUGUUGCGGGUGGGGCAAUAUCUGGUAAUAUUAUAUUGUACAAGCUGA
This 248-nucleotide long non-coding RNA is filed under the name Linum usitatissimum (flax). Its description in RNAcentral is "long non-coding RNA (LUSI_LNC003629)". The record is from RNAcentral. Lineage: Eukaryota; Viridiplantae; Streptophyta; Magnoliopsida; Malpighiales; Linaceae.